GACGUAGGGCGCGAGCGUUGUCCGGAUUUAUUGGGCGUAAAGAGCUCGUAGGCGGCUUGUCGCGUCGAAUGUGAAAUUUUAGGGCUCAACCCUGACAUUGCAUUCGAUACGGGCAGGCUUGAGUGCGGCAGAGGAGACUGGAAUUCCUGGUGUAGCAGUGAAAUGCGUAGAUAUCAGGAGGAACACCGAUGGCGAAGGCAGGUCGCUGGGCUGACACUGACGCUCAUGCACGAAAGCGUGGGGAGCAAACAGG
RNAcentral lists this ribosomal RNA (253 nucleotides) under uncultured bacterium. Its description in RNAcentral is "partial 16S ribosomal RNA". It matches the Rfam family "Bacterial small subunit ribosomal RNA", at positions 524 to 776 of the family's 1533-position model. The record is from RNAcentral.